RNAcentral lists this ribosomal RNA (253 nucleotides) under uncultured bacterium. RNAcentral's name for it is "partial 16S ribosomal RNA". It matches the Rfam family "Bacterial small subunit ribosomal RNA", at positions 524 to 776 of the family's 1533-position model. The record is from RNAcentral.
UACGGAGGGUGCAAGCGUCAAUCGGAAUUACUGGGCGUAAAGCGCACGUAGGUGGCUGCUUAAGUCGGAUGUGAAAGCCCUGGGCUCAACCUGGGAAUUGCAUUCGAUACUGAGCGGCUAGAGUACGAUAGAGGGAGGUAGAAUUCCACGUGUAGCGGUGAAAUGCGUAGAUAUGUGGAGGAAUACCGGUGGCGAAGGCGGCCUCCUGGAUUGAUACUGACACUGAGGUGCGAAAGCGUGGGGAGCAAACAGG